UAACUGUUUGAUAUAAUUCACCACUAAAGUCUGUUCGGAGGUACAUGUGAAGGUUUGUUACACAGAUCAAAUUAUUACUACUACUGAAGCAAGACACUUUUGUGUAUUCUCCUCACGCUUAUUGAGUCUUGACGUUUCUCAAAGUGGCUGGUGAGAGUAAACACUAUUCCUGGAUCUGGGUGAGUGUGUAUUUUUUCUAGUCUUCUCGUGAUUAUUUGAUCAUCUAGUUUUCUUACACACAUGUGUUGAUCAGUCCUCAGCUGAAUAGUCAAACCACAGGUACCCUUUGAAGAUCCCCAUGGUUCUCACUCCAUACAGCAUUCUCCUCUUUGGUACUCUUUCCUGAGAACUGUGACUGCCUCAGUUACCUAGGGCUUCUCUU
RNAcentral lists this long non-coding RNA (382 nucleotides) under Callithrix jacchus (white-tufted-ear marmoset). RNAcentral describes it as "lncRNA (ENSCJAG00000084988.1)". Lineage: Eukaryota; Metazoa; Chordata; Mammalia; Primates; Cebidae. The record is from RNAcentral.